AUGGAACAUUUCUCCCUGGUUGAGAUCUGUGAAAAGAAAGUAAGGGAUGAUGUGAAAAGACUGCAAAAUAAAACAGACUCAAAGACGGGGGUGUGGAUUGGACUGCAAAGGUCCAUUUUUGGCUACAGUCCUGAGUGGAAGUGGAUUUCAGGGUAUAAUGUUGUAAAAUCACAGUUGAAUAGAACGUCGUCCGCCAACUCUGACUUUGACAACCACUGUGGAAAAGUCAUCUUUGAUAAUAAGACAGAAGAAAUCAAGUGGUCCAACGCCAACUGCCAUGAAAAAUUACCAUACAUUUGUCAAAGAAUGAAUGAAAAGCCUUGUACUGAUGAUUAUACAGAGAAGUCAGAGCUUUUCAUUGACAUUGACUGAACUGAUAGCACCAAAGAGAACGAUACGCAGCGUCUCCAAUCAUCAUCAUGUCAAGGUGAGAUUCCUGGAGAAGCGGAUGGAUGACCCAACAACCCCAAUGUGUAUAUAUGCUGUUUGUAUGUAUGUAUGUAUGCUGUAGUGUUGUGUUUCACAGGAAAACUACUUUGGUUACUAUCAUUUGCAAGCUUUGUUAAAUUACCAGUUCACGCACCACUUCUCAGAAGUACCUGUAUUUGUCAAAGAUGCUUCUAUGUAAAGACUCGAUGUAUUAUUUUUGUCAUUAAAAACCUAAAUAUCUGGCUAAUUUAACCGAGCGGUUAUAAGAAACAACAUUUUUAAACAUUGAAUUUGAACUCAUGAUUUUCUUUUUCUCUCAAACAAAAAAACUAAAGAAUAUUCAUUCUGUGCUAAUAAUAAAAUGUAAAGUUAACAAAACUGCAAACUGUAUUUAUUUCAGCGAUAUCUUGAUUCAAGAGAUAGUGAGGUAUACCAAUCUGUCACAGACACCAUUCACACACCUAGGGUGAAAUCUGUCCAUAUUU
RNAcentral lists this long non-coding RNA (914 nucleotides) under Oreochromis niloticus (Nile tilapia). Its description in RNAcentral is "lncRNA (ENSONIG00000031685.1)". Lineage: Eukaryota; Metazoa; Chordata; Actinopteri; Cichliformes; Cichlidae. The record is from RNAcentral.